AUGCGCCACUCGACUUCGCUCAACUUCAUUACACGAGGAAGUGACGCUUCCUCGGGUUGACGAAGAAGCGACGCCUCUUUUGUGAGCAGACGUAUUCAAUAAAGAUUAAAAAAAAAAAAAAGAGCGUCCAUUGUGAGCAGAUGUGUUCAAUACAGUGAAAUUCCUCUGCAACGAAAUCAUGUUUGCAGCAA
This is a long non-coding RNA of Hippocampus comes (tiger tail seahorse), 191 nucleotides long. RefSeq lists it as uncharacterized. The transcript is spliced from 2 exons. The record is from RefSeq and is a predicted model, not a curated record. Lineage: Eukaryota; Metazoa; Chordata; Actinopteri; Syngnathiformes; Syngnathidae.